RNAcentral lists this ribosomal RNA (486 nucleotides) under uncultured Arenibacter sp. Its description in RNAcentral is "bacterial SSU rRNA". It matches the Rfam family "Bacterial small subunit ribosomal RNA", at positions 29 to 508 of the family's 1533-position model. The record is from RNAcentral. Lineage: Bacteria; Pseudomonadati; Bacteroidota; Flavobacteriia; Flavobacteriales; Flavobacteriaceae.
AUGAACGCUAGCGGCAGGCCUAACACAUGCAAGUCGAGGGGCAGCGGGGAUAAGCUUGCUUAUCCGCCGGCGACCGGCGCACGGGUGCGCAACGCGUAUAGAAUCUGCCCUGUACUGGGGAAUAGCCCAGAGAAAUUUGGAUUAAUGCCCCAUGGUAUGUUUAAGCGGCAUCGCUUUUACAUUAAAGGCUACGGUACAGGAUGACUAUGCGUCCCAUUAGUUAGUUGGUAAGGUAACGGCUUACCAAGGCAGCGAUGGGUAGGGGCCCUGAGAGGGGGAUCCCCCACACUGGUACUGAGACACGGACCAGACUCCUACGGGAGGCAGCAGUGAGGAAUAUUGGACAAUGGGCGGGAGCCUGAUCCAGCCAUGCCGCGUGCAGGAAGACGGUCCUAUGGAUUGUAAACUGCUUUUGUACGGGAAGAACAAGGGGCACGUGUGCCCUUCUGACGGUACCGUAAGAAUAAGGAUCGGCUAACUCCGUGC